GACGAACGCUGGCGGCGUGCCUAAUACAUGCAAGUAGGACGCACAGUUUAUACCGUAGCUUGCUACACCAUAGACUGUGAGUUGCGAACGGGUGAGUAACGCGUAGGUAACCUGCCUAUUAGAGGGGGAUAACUAUUGGAAACGAUAGCUAAUACCGCAUAACAGUAUGUAACACAUGUUAGAUGCUUGAAAGAUGCAAUUGCAUCGCUAGUAGAUGGACCUGCGUUGUAUUAGCUAGUAGGUAGGGUAAUGGCCUACCUAGGCGACGAUACAUAGCCGACCUGAGAGGGUGAUCGGCCACACUGGGACUGAGACACGGCCCAGACUCCUACGGGAGGCAGCAGUAGGGAAUCUUCGGCAAUGGGGGGAACCCUGACCGAGCAACGCCGCGUGAGUGAAGAAGGUUUUCGGAUCGUAAAGCUCUGUUGUUAAGGAAGAAACGAGUGUGAGAAUGGAAAGUUCAUACUGUGACGGACUAAC
RNAcentral lists this ribosomal RNA (480 nucleotides) under Streptococcus anginosus. RNAcentral describes it as "bacterial SSU rRNA". It matches the Rfam family "Bacterial small subunit ribosomal RNA", at positions 28 to 483 of the family's 1533-position model. The record is from RNAcentral. Lineage: Bacteria; Bacillati; Bacillota; Bacilli; Lactobacillales; Streptococcaceae.